This 208-nucleotide long non-coding RNA is filed under the name Bos taurus (domestic cattle). RNAcentral describes it as "long non-coding RNA NONBTAT015039". The record is from RNAcentral. Lineage: Eukaryota; Metazoa; Chordata; Mammalia; Artiodactyla; Bovidae.
GUAGCUAUGCAUUGAUUACUACAGGACAGCCAGCGUUUUCAUUUAUCAUUAUUAAUCACAUGUCAACUGAUUUCAACUUACUUAUUCAGAUUAUGGUUUAAAUCAAAUAAUUUGUAACUGUUAAUUCUACUUGAAAGAGCUAUAAUAGUAUAUGAUGUUAAUAAACAGUUUGGUGAAAAACUGUGUGAAUGAUAUAAGGCUUUCAAAU